This 253-nucleotide ribosomal RNA is filed under the name uncultured bacterium. RNAcentral's name for it is "partial 16S ribosomal RNA". It matches the Rfam family "Bacterial small subunit ribosomal RNA", at positions 524 to 776 of the family's 1533-position model. The record is from RNAcentral.
UACGUAGGGUGCGAGCGUUAAUCGGAAUUACUGGGCGUAAAGCGUGCGCAGGCGGUGAGCUGUGUCCGAUGUGAAAGCCCCGGGCUCAACCUGGGAAUGGCAGUGGAUACUGGACAGCUAGAGUGCGGUAGAGGGUAGUGGAAUUCCCGGUGUAGCAGUGAAAUGCGUAGAGAUCGGGAGGAACACCAGUGGCGAAGGCGGCUACCUGGACCAGCACUGACACUGAAGCACGAAAGCGUGGGGAGCAAACAGG